UAGGGAAUCUUCCGCAAUGGACGCAAGUCUGACGGAGCAACGCCGCGUGAGUGAAGAAGGAUUUCGGUUCGUAAAACUCUGUUGUUAGAGAAGAACAGCGCAUAGAGUAACUGUUAUGCGUGUGACGGUAUCUAACCAGAAAGCCACGGCUAACUACGUGCCAGCAGCCGCGGUAAUACGUAGGUGGCAAGCGUUGUCCGGAUUUAUUGGGCGUAAAGCGAGCGCAGGCGGUCAAUUAAGUCUGAUGUGAAAGCCCCCGGCUCAACCGGGGAGGGUCAUUGGAAACCGGUUGACUUGAGUGCAGAAGAGGAGAGUGGAAUUCCAUGUGUAGCGGUGAAAUGCGUAGAUAUAUGGAGGAACACCAGUGGCGAAGGCGACUCUCUGGUCUGUAACUGACGCUGAGGUUCGAAAGCGUGGGUAGCAAACAGG
This 429-nucleotide ribosomal RNA is filed under the name Bacteroidota bacterium. RNAcentral's name for it is "Bacteroidetes bacterium partial 16S ribosomal RNA". It matches the Rfam family "Bacterial small subunit ribosomal RNA", at positions 355 to 776 of the family's 1533-position model. The record is from RNAcentral. Lineage: Bacteria; Pseudomonadati; Bacteroidota.